Molecule: non-coding RNA, 84 nt
Organism: Russula earlei
Lineage: Eukaryota; Fungi; Basidiomycota; Agaricomycetes; Russulales; Russulaceae
Source: the annotation of a GenBank genome assembly
AGCAGCAUGGCGCAGUUGGUCUAGCGCGCAGGGCCCAUAAAAUUGGUCACCCUGAGGUCCCUCGAUCGAAACGAGGUGCUGCUA